Molecule: ribosomal RNA, 207 nt
Filed under: uncultured bacterium
Lineage: Bacteria
Description: partial 16S ribosomal RNA
Rfam family: Bacterial small subunit ribosomal RNA
Source: RNAcentral
CGCGUAGGUGGUUUGAUCAGUCGGAUGUGAAAGCCCCGGGCUUAACCUGGGAAUUGCAUUCGAUACUGUCAGGCUAGAGUAUGGUAGAGGGAAGUGGAAUUCCAGGUGUAGCGGUGAAAUGCGUAGAUAUCUGGAGGAACAUCAGUGGCGAAGGCGACUUCCUGGACCAAUACUGACACUGAGGUGCGAAAGCGUGGGGAGCGAACA